UGAUGUUACUGUGGCUAGACAACCCUAACUAACUUCUGUUCAUCUCGUCAUUGCUAUAAAUACCCCUUUAGCACAUACCAACCCAAGUAAAGGUAAAUAUCAAAUAAUAACUUUACCAAAUAAACUCAAACAAAAUAACAAAAAUACCUAACAUAAUACAAUCAUUUACCUAAAGUACUCGAAAAGAAAAUACUCAACCCAACAAAAAGAUUGAAUGACAUAACAAAAUAACAAAACACCAAAGAUCCCCUCUAACUCAAAACAUGAUGGUACAGUCCAACUUCCUCUGGCACAGCACAAAUUAGGAGAUUGAAGCACCGCCUCUCCCUUUGUCUGCUUCCACAUGGAAAACGGCCGUCACUCCAUGGACUCGAGCAAUCUAGGACUCAGCUCAGUGGCAUUAACCAGUGUGGAGGAACAGCAGUCCUUCACCAGUUUCUGCUUCUUCACUUAUCAAUACAGCUAAUACCAUCAUUACAAUAAAUAUCCAUCAAGAUCUGACUGUAGGUAUCAGGAAGUCUUGAGGCUUUAACUCAGUCUGUGUCUUUAACCGUCUGUCAUUAUUCAGUCAGUAUGGAGCUCAGUCAACUUCCUCUUGUGCUCUGUGAGUAUUAUUUCCUCCGCAUGCGUUUCAUGUCCAUUGCUCUUAUAUUAUGAAUAGGAUCGAGUGAUUUCGUGUUUUGGGAAUUUAUUUUCAUGCUGCUCUCAGUGUUUCAGAUCCAGCUCUAGUUGUGAAAGACGAGCUUGAGAGUUUAAGUGUGCAGUUAGAGCUGUUUGUGAAAGAGAAAUGAACUCUUUGGGGCGGUUUCCCGGACAGGGUUUAAUUUAAGCCAGGAUAGGCCUUAAUCUAGAAUAGUUAAUCGUGUCUUAAAAAAUGGCUUUCUGAAACACAG
Long non-coding RNA from Megalobrama amblycephala (Wuchang bream), 893 nucleotides. RefSeq lists it as uncharacterized. NCBI's taxonomy places the organism in Eukaryota, Metazoa, Chordata, Actinopteri, Cypriniformes, Xenocyprididae. The transcript is spliced from 3 exons. The record is from RefSeq and is a predicted model, not a curated record.